GGUUACAGUCGGUAGAGCAGUGGACUGAAAAUCCUCGUGUCGGUGGUUCAAAUCCGCCCCUGGGCACCA
RNAcentral lists this transfer RNA (69 nucleotides) under SAR116 cluster bacterium. RNAcentral describes it as "tRNA-Phe". It matches the Rfam family "tRNA", at positions 9 to 71 of the family's 71-position model. From Rfam's summary of the family: Transfer RNA (tRNA) molecules are approximately 80 nucleotides in length. Their secondary structure includes four short double-helical elements and three loops (D, anti-codon, and T loops). Further hydrogen bonds mediate the characteristic L-shaped molecular structure. tRNAs have two regions of fundamental functional importance: the anti-codon, which is responsible for specific mRNA codon recognition, and the 3' end, to which the tRNAs corresponding amino acid is attached (by aminoacyl-tRNA synthetases). tRNAs cope with the degeneracy of the genetic code in two manners: having more than one tRNA (with a specific anti-codon) for a particular amino acid; and 'wobble' base-pairing, i.e. permitting non-standard base-pairing at the 3rd anti-codon position. The record is from RNAcentral. Lineage: Bacteria; Pseudomonadati; Pseudomonadota; Alphaproteobacteria; Puniceispirillales (SeqCode).